GCCAUCAGCUAGUGGAUAUAUAAAUGCAAGCUUCAUUAAGAUAUCCGAAAACGUGUCUCAGUUUAUUGCAACACAAGGUCCGCUACCGCACACUUUUGAAGACUUCUGGGAAAUGAUAAUCCUGCAUCACUGUCCUGUGAUUGUGAUGCUUACCCAAUUGGUUGACAAUUACAAGACGGUCAAGUGUGGGGAUUAUUUUCAGGCAGAUGGUGGUCCUAGAAGAUUUGGCAAUAUAUGUAUUGUC
Nicotiana tabacum (common tobacco) is the source of this 244-nucleotide non-coding RNA. The record is from RefSeq and is a predicted model, not a curated record. Lineage: Eukaryota; Viridiplantae; Streptophyta; Magnoliopsida; Solanales; Solanaceae.